Numida meleagris (helmeted guineafowl) is the source of this 4322-nucleotide RNA transcript. It is a transcript of the gene named apoptogenic 1, mitochondrial, with no coding region annotated. The record is from RefSeq and is a predicted model, not a curated record. Lineage: Eukaryota; Metazoa; Chordata; Aves; Galliformes; Numididae. The transcript has 6 exons.
GCCGUAAAGCGCGGCCGGCGGCGGGGGAUGGCCGUUCGGGAGGUGGUGCGGGCGCUGAGGGCGGGCGGCUGCCGCUUCGGCCGCUUCUCCUCCUCCUCCUCCUCCUCCUCCGGCGGCGGGGAGCGGGCGGUGAGUGCGCGUCGCGGAGCAUUUAAGGGGCCCCGCUUCUGCCCCCCUGCCGGCUCCUGUAGGGACUGGAUCGGGCCCCCCGACAAGCGCUCCAACCUCCGCCCCGUCAUCUUCCACGUGCCCUCCCAUGAGUCCCCCCUGGAGCGGCGGCUGCGGGAGCUGCGGGAGGAGACCCAGGCAUGGAACCAGCGCUUCUGGGCUCGGCAGAACACCGCCUUCCAGCGGGAAAAAGAAGAAUUUAUCUAUUCAAGACUGAAAGCCAAGGGUCUGGAAACGAGAGAUAAAACAGGCCAGAAAGUGACACUGAAUGCGGAGGAAAUGGCUGACUUUUACAAGGACUUCCUACGUAAAAACUUUAGAAAGCAUAUGCAUUAUAACAGAGAUUGGUAUAAACGUAACUUUACUAUCACAUUCCUCAUGGGACAAGUAGCACUGGUGAGAGCCCUGAGGUGGCUUCGUCGGAAAACGAAACAUGUUGGAAAUCAGUGAUCACAGCUUUAUGAAGAAUGCAACGCUACCUAGGUCGGCUAUAUACUUGCUAAUAGUGAUGUUCAGAAUCUGAAUGUCCAAUGUCAUGAUCACUUAGGUCUGUUUGUUAGACUGUGUAAAUAAAAGUUGCCUUUAGCCUUAAUUUACAACCACUGUUUACCGUUUAUUCCACAAAUUAUCCAAAAUAUUUCCCAAUGAAAACACCACCCAAAAACUGUUGAAAGCUUUCUUCUUUUACAUUAACUGGAACGGAUCACAACAGGUUGGUGGUUGUUGUUGUUUUAACCACAGAGGUAUAAAACAAAUGCUGUGCCUGAACUUCAGUCAGAGAAUGUUAUCACAGACCGUAUCUGUAUAUGUAGACAAAAAUGCCUCGUUUUGCAGCAGCUGUCCAGGGCAGUAGUAGUAUAACAUGGCUGAAGGAACAAGUAUGGUUUGUGAGUGUAUAUGCACAAUUGACUUAGAAUAAUCCUUUUUUUUUUUAAUGUUACUCUUUUCCAUUUUUAUUGAAAGCUUAAGAUAUGAUUUUUUAUCAUUUUCUAAGGCAGUAGAGCCUAUAAUAAUUUUGUUUUCUUCAGAAGAAAUGUCCCUCUUGGACAACAGUUCCUCUAACCUGUGAUUUUUUGAAGAUUUUAGCUGCUGAGCAAUAAAAUAGAUGCAUUACCAGACACUUAAUCUUGGUAAAAAAGGAAACUGAUACUUGGCUGUAUGAGAAGAGAAUGUCGUAUUCUCACCCAUUUCUUCACUCCAAAGAACUUGCUUGAGGGGGAUUUUCUGGCUUCAAGGUAUGUAAUGUCAAUUGGGAGGAAGCUGAUUUAAGUGAAGUCUUAAAACGUUAUGCCAUGUAUCUGUAUUUUAAAAAGUUCCCUAACUCUGAAUGUUUUCCAUGUCUGUACAGCUCAGUGUAGUGAUUAUUUCGAUACAGUAAGUACUGAGAGGAUUCUGUUAUGGAAGCACGUUUCCCCCAAAGCCAUGCUGUAGGGAAGGCUUUCGUUUUGGAAAUGUGAACUCAAUAGCCAUUGACCUGUUUUUCAUAUCUAAACAUGAUGUAAUUUAUUCAUAAGCUUUUUCAGCUUGAGCGAAAAGGCUUGUUGGCGUUAAUGAACUAAUAAUUCCUCUGGAAAAUGAAAUAUUAAUGAUACCAUAAUGGAUUGCACUGUUUCAUACAGUGAUGAUAUCAUUGAGAUUAAAGUGCUCAUUGAAUUGUGGUUCUAAUAGCUGUGUUAAUAGUAAAUGAAUGCAUUCAUUAAUAGUGUUUGCUGAGGUGAAAAUCUACAGUAGUAGAACAUUAUUUGUGAAUGCUAUUUAAUACAUAGUGCUGUAAAAGGUAGAUGUUUAUUAAAAAGUUAAGAAAUUACAUGUUGCUUAGGGAGAAUAAGCUUUUGAAAUAGACUACUUUUGGUGUGGAAUGUAAUUCUUCAGGGUUUUACAUUAAAUCCUAUGUUACAGCAUGUAUGCUUUGAUUACAAUGUGAAUGCACACUUCAAUAAAUAAUUUCAACAUAAAAUGUGGAAGAAUUACUGGAUAACGUAUGGUAAUAUCCCUGAAGGGCAGUGACCAGAUCCCCAGCGUACUGGUGGCUGAUAGCCUUAUGUUGUGACAGCCUGUGUGUAAGAUCCCUACGGUAGUUUCACAUAUGCUUAAGUGGGUAGGGGUCUGUCAAAAGAACCAUUUUCAUUUGAGCUGCUCGCUUCCGUUAAUGCAAACACUGCCUGCCUGCUGAUCCAGAUCAGGAAAUUGACUUGCUGCUACUAGAACUAAUCCAAGGAAGAAAGUGGUGGAUGUCAGUUGAAUUCAUGUGUCUCAUUGUGCAGAUGUAAGAAUUCUGCUGUUGGCAGAAGGGAGGUGUGGGAAUUUAGAUGAAGGGUUUGGAUUGCUCCUCAGUCAACUCACAGUGGCUGUGAAAGUACUUCCAAUCUUCGUUCUGUUUCAUUGGAUCUCGUCCUUAGUAUUGCCUGUGGAAAUGCAAUGGGGAGCAUCUUCAGUAGUACAAGCAGUAUACCACAGCUAUAAAACUGUUUUCUGAAUAUGUAUUCCUAUAUUGGUCACCCAAAAAUAAUAUAACUAGUGUAAGAUGGAUUUUGCUCUGAGCUGCUUCUAGGUGAAGUUUGUGCCUUUAUGGGAUUGACAUCAUUAAGAUUCUACGUGGGGUGCCGGGCCCCUUCAUCUAAAGCCUAUUGAUGAAGUGAGGUGUUUAUCUGGUAGCAUUAAUUUCCAUGGAAUAUGAGAGGAGUAGGAAGAAUUGUCAAAUGGGAAUUGACAGGCAGAACAGCUAAAGGUUGGUUUGAAGUGAUUCCAGCACCCUUAUAGAUGACUGACAAAGGAGGAUUUGAACAGCUUAAGAUUUUUGAAAUUAAAUACAUUUCUUAAUUUUAUUGGGAGUUUUAAAAAUAGUGGAAGGAACUACUGAGAGUGUUUAACUGAAAAUUGCUAGUGGAAAAAAAUCUAGUUCAAAAGUCCAAUUUGUAAUAUAGAAGCUGACCUGCUCUGGUUCCAUUUCAAGGGGACUGUUCUGUAUGCAGUGUUCAAUUGCUACUAUUGCUAAGCAAUCCUGGUAUCCUACAGAGCAGUCAGAUUUAGCCAAAUGAGGACUUAGUUUACAUCCUGCACAGAGCCCAAGGGGCACUUGCUUGCAUAAAGGCUGGCAGAUACAAAUGUUUUCAGGAAAGAAUACUGCAUGUCUGGAUCUGUAAUAUACAUGAAUUACACUUUAUAUUAAAAUGAUAUCUACUGAUGGCUUUAAUCUGAUUCACAGAACAAUAAAACAAUUCAUGUUCACUUCUUUAAAGAAAAAAAUACAAAUUACGUUUUCUUAUAUUUCUUCAUAGGUGGAAUAUGAUCAUCUUGAAAUACUCAUUAAUAUUCAUUAUUGUAGAAAUUACUUCUUUGUGCCCUGACUCUGCAUUCAUUAAUGGAUUAAGAUUAAGUAUUCAGAGAUGUAGUUGAUUGAUCUAUUCAAGUGGCAGAUGCUGUGGAAAUGCAAAAGCAGUACUUUUUGUUAGAAGUAAUGAAGAAAAAAUACGACAUUAUUUGUUUUUGUGUGAUCUUAUUUAAGAGAUAUUUUGUAGCACUGCUACAGUCAAAAUCAGUUCUAGAAACCAUGCAGAUGCUCUGAAGACAAAGUCUUUGUUUCUUAUAGCUGCUUGUGUUGUCUUAGUGGUACAAGCUGGAUACCCAUUGGAUCUCUUUCCUUCCUCUUCAGAGUGUAAGAAAGACACAGUGAUUUCUUCUGUGCUGAUGUGCUCUGGUUCUCAUCCUUAAGGCUGGCUCAGGUGUGUUCUCAGGGGGGCCUGAAAUGGCAGGAGACAGCAAGAAUGACUGUGAGCAUUGCUUGGCUGCUGGGACUGCUGGCAAGCAAUUAGCAUUUAGCAUAAAUUCGAGCAGUCCUGAAACUACUUUGAUCAGCCAUGAGUGGCAAGAGUUUCCAGCAGCCCCCAUACCUGUCAAAAAUUGCUGGCGUUCAGCAGUGGUCUGUUCACACAGCCGCCUCCAGAGGAUCUACGGAUAUGAUUCAGCUGCAGAACUGGCUGUGACAACUUUCAUCAGCUGCGCCAGAACAAAUCAACAGGCAAGAUGCAGGUUUCAGAAUCAUGAGAAAUUCAGGUCACUGUUCAUACCACAUUGUUAAAGUACUUCGACAAAUUUUAGCUCCAUCUUUGUUUAAAAAAAAUAAAUAAAAAUCCUUGCCCUGGAAAAUAUUCAUA